UACGAAGGGAGCUAGCGUUGUUCGGAAUCACUGGGCGUAAAGCGCACGUAGGCGGAUGUGUCAGUCAGGGGUGAAAUCCCGGAGCUCAACUUCGGAACUGCCUUUGAUACAGCACGUCUUGAGUCCGAUAGAGGUGGGUGGAAUUCCUAGUGUAGAGGUGAAAUUCGUAGAUAUUCGGAAGAACACCAGUGGCGAAGGCGACUUACUGGACGAUUGUUGACGCUGAGGUGCGAAAGCGUGGGGAGCAAACAGG
RNAcentral lists this ribosomal RNA (253 nucleotides) under uncultured bacterium. Its description in RNAcentral is "partial 16S ribosomal RNA". It matches the Rfam family "Bacterial small subunit ribosomal RNA", at positions 524 to 776 of the family's 1533-position model. The record is from RNAcentral.